This 400-nucleotide ribosomal RNA is filed under the name phytoplankton environmental sample. Its description in RNAcentral is "partial small subunit ribosomal RNA". It matches the Rfam family "Eukaryotic small subunit ribosomal RNA", at positions 587 to 992 of the family's 1831-position model. The record is from RNAcentral.
AGCUCCAAUAGCGUAUAUUUAAGUUGUUGCAGUUAAAAAGCUCGUAGUUGGAUUUCGGAUGGGAUUUGCCGGUCCGUCGUUACGAUGUGCACUGGCAAGUCCUAUCUUGUUGUCGGGGACUAGCUCCUGGGCUUCACUGUCCGGGACUAGGAGCCGACGAAGUUACUUUGAGUAAAUUAGAGUGUUCAAAGCAAGCCUACGCUCUGAAUAUAUUAGCAUGGAAUAACACGAUAGGACUCUGGCUUAUCUUGUUGGUCUGUGAGACCAGAGUAAUGAUUAAGAGGGACAGUCGGGGACAUUCGUAUUUCAUUGUCAGAGGUGAAAUUCUUGGAUUUAUGAAAGACGAACUUCUGCGAAAGCAUUUGUCAAGGAUGUUUUCAUUAAUCAAGAACGAAAGUAG